AGUGAACGCUGGCGGUAGGCCUAACACAUGCAAGUCGAACGGCAGCACAGUAAGAGCUUGCUCUUACGGGUGGCGAGUGGCGGACGGGUGAGGAAUACAUCGGAAUCUACUUUUUCGUGGGGGAUAACGUAGGGAAACUUACGCUACUACCGCAUACGACCUACGGGUGAAAGCAGGGGAUCUUCGGACCUUGCGCGAUUGAAUGAGCCGAUGUCGGAUUAGCUAGUUGGCGGGGUAAAGGCCCACCAAGGCGACGAUCCGUAGCUGGUCUGAGAGGAUGAUCAGCCACACUGGAACUGAGACACGGUCCAGACUCCUACGGGAGGCAGCAGUGGGGAAUAUUGGACAAUGGGCGAAAGCCUGAUCCGGCCAUACCGCGUGGGUGAAGAAGGCCUUCGGGUUGUAAAGCCCUUUUGUUGGGAAAGAAAAGCAGCAGGUUAAUACCCCGCUGUUCUGACGGUACCCAAAGAAUAAGCACCGGCUAACUUCGUG
This 492-nucleotide ribosomal RNA is filed under the name uncultured bacterium. Its description in RNAcentral is "partial 16S ribosomal RNA". It matches the Rfam family "Bacterial small subunit ribosomal RNA", at positions 29 to 507 of the family's 1533-position model. The record is from RNAcentral.